This is a long non-coding RNA of Cyprinus carpio carpio, 259 nucleotides long. Lineage: Eukaryota; Metazoa; Chordata; Actinopteri; Cypriniformes; Cyprinidae. The record is from Ensembl.
CCUCUUCGCUGAAUACAGCUCACGGUAAGUACUGGUUCACACAGUUCGUUCUCUGGGUGCUCACUCUCUUUCUCUUUCUCCACAGGCAACGGCUGGGACACACAGGCACAGUUAGUUCAGCUUGGUUUUGCUCUCACCUCUUCGCUGAUUACAGCUCACAGUAAGUACUGGUUCACACAGUUCGUUCCUUGGGUGCUCACUCGCUUUCUCUUUCUCCACAGGCAGCGGCGUAAGUACAGGUUUCCUCGAUCUCUCCUCG